UGGGGAAUCUUCCGCAAUGGACGAAAGUCUGACGGAGCAACGCCGCGUGAGUGAAGACGGCCUUCGGGUUGUAAAGCUCUGUGAUCCGGGACGAAAGAGCCUGAGGUAAAUAGCCUAAGGAAGUGACGGUACCGGAAAAGCAAGCCACGGCUAACUACGUGCCAGCAGCCGCGGUAAUACGUAGGUGGCAAGCGUUGUCCGGAAUUAUUGGGCGUAAAGCGCGCGCAGGCGGCUUCCUAAGUCCAUCUUAAAAGUGCGGGGCUUAACCCCGUGAUGGGAUGGAGACUGGGAAGCUGGAGUAUCGGAGAGGAAAGUGGAAUUCCUAGUGUAGCGGUGAAAUGCGUAGAGAUUAGGAAGAACACCGGUGGCGAAGGCGACUUUCUGGACGAAAACUGACGCUGAGGCGCGAAAGCGUGGGGAGCAAACAGG
RNAcentral lists this ribosomal RNA (429 nucleotides) under Fusobacteriota bacterium. RNAcentral's name for it is "Fusobacteria bacterium partial 16S ribosomal RNA". It matches the Rfam family "Bacterial small subunit ribosomal RNA", at positions 355 to 776 of the family's 1533-position model. The record is from RNAcentral. Lineage: Bacteria; Fusobacteriati; Fusobacteriota.